This 72-nucleotide transfer RNA is filed under the name Felis catus (domestic cat). It matches the Rfam family "tRNA". Rfam says of the family: Transfer RNA (tRNA) molecules are approximately 80 nucleotides in length. Their secondary structure includes four short double-helical elements and three loops (D, anti-codon, and T loops). Lineage: Eukaryota; Metazoa; Chordata; Mammalia; Carnivora; Felidae. The record is from Rfam by way of RNAcentral. RNAcentral also lists the same sequence under 1 other name.
GCCCGUCUGGCUCAUCAGUAGAGCAUGUGACUCUUGAUCGUGGGGUCAUGAGUUCGAGCCCCAUGUUGGGCA